RNAcentral lists this ribosomal RNA (253 nucleotides) under uncultured bacterium. Its description in RNAcentral is "partial 16S ribosomal RNA". It matches the Rfam family "Bacterial small subunit ribosomal RNA", at positions 524 to 776 of the family's 1533-position model. The record is from RNAcentral.
UACGUACCGUACGAACGUUAUUCGGAAUUACUGGGCUUAAAGGGUUUGUAGGCGGCCUUGUAAGUCAGGUGUGAAAUCCCUCGGCUCAACCGAGGAACAGCGCUUGAUACUGCAAGGUUUGAGGGAGACAGGGGUAAGCGGAACUGAUGGUGGAGCGGUGAAAUGCGUUGAUAUCAUCAGGAACACCGGUGGCGAAAGCGGCUUACUGGGUCUCUUCUGACGCUGAGGAACGAAAGCUAGGGUAGCGAACGGG